Molecule: long non-coding RNA, 807 nt
Organism: Eriocheir sinensis (Chinese mitten crab)
Lineage: Eukaryota; Metazoa; Arthropoda; Malacostraca; Decapoda; Varunidae
Exons: 6
Source: RefSeq, a predicted model, not a curated record
UGACCGUCUUUUGAGGUUUUUGCAGCGUUUAGUGAUCAGCAAGGAAGAAAUGUUUGUUGAAAUGGAAGUUACAAAGCCACAACACGACAGUCUAUUAAGGUUUUUGCAGCGUUUAGUGAUCAGCAAGGAAGAAAUGUUUGUUGAAAUGGAACUUACAAAGCCACAACAUGACAGUCUAUUAAGGUUUUUGCAGCGUUUAGUGAUCAGCAAGGAAGAAAUGUUUGUUGAAAUGGAAGUUACAAAGCCACAACAUGACAGUCUAUUAAGGUUUUUGCAGCGUUUAGUGAUCAGCAAGGAAGAAAUGUUUGUUGAAAUGGAAGUUACAAAGCCACUACAUGACAGUCCAUUAAGGUUUUUGCAGCGUUUAAUGAUCAGCAAGGAAGAAAUGUUUGUUGAAAUGGAAGUUACAAAGCCACAACAUGACAGUCUAUUAAGGUUUUUGCAGCGUUUAGUGAUCAGCAAGGAAGAAAUGUUUGUUGAAAUGGAAGUUACAAAGCCACUACAUGACAGUCUAUUAAGGUUUUUGCAGCGUUUAGUGAUCAGCAAGGAAGAAAUGUUUGUUGAAAUGGAAGUUACAAAGCCACAACAUGACAGUCUAUUAAGGUUUUUGCAGCGUUUAAUGAUCGGCAAGGAAGAAAUGUUUGUUGAAAUGGAAGUUACAAAGCCACUACAUGACAGUCUAUUAAGGUUUUUGCAGCGUUUAGUGAUCAGCAAGGAAGAAAUGUUUGUUGAAAUGGAAGUUACAAAGCCACUACAUGACAGUCCAUUAAGGUUUCUGCAGCGUUUAAUGAUCAGCAAGGAAGAAAU